UACGGAGGGUGCAAGCGUUAUCCGGAUUUACUGGGUUUAAAGGGCGCGUAGGCGGUCAGCACAAGUCAGUUGUGAAAUCUCCGGGCUUAACUCGGAAAGGUCAACUGAUACUGUGCGACUAGAGUGCAGAAGGGGCAACUGGAAUUCUCGGUGUAGCGGUGAAAUGCGUAGAUAUCGAGAGGAACACCUGCGGCGAAGGCGGGUUGCUGGGCUGACACUGACGCUGAUGCGCGAAAGCCAGGGGAGCGAACGGG
Molecule: ribosomal RNA, 254 nt
Filed under: uncultured bacterium
Lineage: Bacteria
Description: partial 16S ribosomal RNA
Rfam family: Bacterial small subunit ribosomal RNA
Source: RNAcentral